AGCAGCCGCGGUAAUUCCAGCUCCAAUAGCGUAUAUUAAAGUUGUUGCAGUUAAAAAGCUCGUAGUUGAAUUCCGGGAUCAAGGAAUCGGUCAUGCCUUGGUAUGUACUGGUUUUAUUGGUUCUCACCUUCUAAAGAACCAUAAUGUCAUUUAUUUGAUGUUAUGGGGAAUUAGGACUGUUACUUUGAAAAAAUUAGAGUGUUUAAAGCAGGCUCACGCUUGAAUACAUUAGCAUGGAAUAAUGAAAUAGGACGUUUGAUUCUAUUUUGUUGGUUUCUAGGAUCGACGUAAUGAUUAAUAGGGAUAGUUGGGGGCAUUAGUAUUCAAUUGUCAGAGGUGAAAUUCUUGGAUUUAUUGAAGACUAACUACUGCGAAAGCAAUUUGCCAAGGAUGUUUUCAUUAAUCAAGAACGAAAGUUAGGGGAUCGAAGACGAUCAGAUACCGUCGUAGUCUUAACCAUAAA
This 463-nucleotide ribosomal RNA is filed under the name uncultured Glomus. RNAcentral describes it as "SSU rRNA". It matches the Rfam family "Eukaryotic small subunit ribosomal RNA", at positions 569 to 1036 of the family's 1831-position model. The record is from RNAcentral. Lineage: Eukaryota; Fungi; Glomeromycota; Glomeromycetes; Glomerales; Glomeraceae.